RNAcentral lists this transfer RNA (109 nucleotides) under Anopheles minimus. RNAcentral's name for it is "tRNA tRNA-Tyr". It matches the Rfam family "tRNA". Rfam says of the family: Transfer RNA (tRNA) molecules are approximately 80 nucleotides in length. Their secondary structure includes four short double-helical elements and three loops (D, anti-codon, and T loops). Further hydrogen bonds mediate the characteristic L-shaped molecular structure. tRNAs have two regions of fundamental functional importance: the anti-codon, which is responsible for specific mRNA codon recognition, and the 3' end, to which the tRNAs corresponding amino acid is attached (by aminoacyl-tRNA synthetases). tRNAs cope with the degeneracy of the genetic code in two manners: having more than one tRNA (with a specific anti-codon) for a particular amino acid; and 'wobble' base-pairing, i.e. permitting non-standard base-pairing at the 3rd anti-codon position. Lineage: Eukaryota; Metazoa; Arthropoda; Insecta; Diptera; Culicidae. The record is from RNAcentral.
CCUUCGAUAGCUCAGUUGGUAGAGCGGUGGACUGUAGCGGUGAGCGGGCGCUUCUGCGCACACGCACAUAGUUAUCCAUAGGUCACUGGUUCAAAUCCGGUUCGAAGGA